UUUUAGCCCUGAUGGAAACGGCAUCCUUUUUCUGGCGAUCUUUAGCCAGGAAAAGAUAAAGUGUACAGCAGGAAUCAGC
RNAcentral lists this small RNA (79 nucleotides) under Flavobacterium hercynium. RNAcentral's name for it is "Flavo-1 RNA". It matches the Rfam family "Flavo-1 RNA". The record is from Rfam by way of RNAcentral. Lineage: Bacteria; Pseudomonadati; Bacteroidota; Flavobacteriia; Flavobacteriales; Flavobacteriaceae.